UAGCUCAGUUGGAUAGAGCACCAGACUUCGAAUCUGGGGGUCGGGGGUUCGAAUCCCUC
This 59-nucleotide transfer RNA is filed under the name Alphaproteobacteria bacterium. RNAcentral's name for it is "tRNA-Arg". It matches the Rfam family "tRNA", at positions 8 to 63 of the family's 71-position model. From Rfam's summary of the family: Transfer RNA (tRNA) molecules are approximately 80 nucleotides in length. Their secondary structure includes four short double-helical elements and three loops (D, anti-codon, and T loops). Lineage: Bacteria; Pseudomonadati; Pseudomonadota; Alphaproteobacteria. The record is from RNAcentral.